This 437-nucleotide ribosomal RNA is filed under the name uncultured Oscillospiraceae bacterium. RNAcentral describes it as "partial 16S ribosomal RNA". It matches the Rfam family "Bacterial small subunit ribosomal RNA", at positions 341 to 792 of the family's 1533-position model. The record is from RNAcentral. Lineage: Bacteria; Bacillati; Bacillota; Clostridia; Eubacteriales; Oscillospiraceae.
ACGGGAGGCAGCAGUGGGGAAUAUUGGGCAAUGGGCGAAAGCCUGACCCAGCAAUGCCGCGUGAAGGAAGAAGGUCUUCGGAUCGUAAACUUCUUUUAUGAGGGACGAAGGAUUUGACGGUACCUCAUGAAUAAGCCACGGCUAACUACGUGCCAGCAGCCGCGGUAAUACGUAGGUGGCAAGCGUUAUCCGGAUUUACUGGGUGUAAAGGGCGCGUAGGCGGGGAAGCAAGUCAGAUGUGAAAUCCAUGGGCUCAACUCAUGAACUGCAUUUGAAACUGUUUCUCUUGAGUGCUGGAGAGGUAGAUGGAAUUCCUAGUGUAGCGGUGAAAUGCGUAGAUAUUAGGAAGAACACCAGUGGCGAAGGCGAUCUACUGGACAGUAACUGACGCUGAGGCGCGAAAGCGUGGGGAGCAAACAGGAUUAGAUACCCUGGUA